GGUCAAGUUAUUAAGGGUGCAGGGCGGAUGCCUUGGCACCGGGAGCCGAUGAAGGACGUGAUAAGCUGCGAUAAGCUAUGGGGAGUUGCACGUAAACUUUGAUCCAUAGAUUUCCGAAUGAGGAAACUCACCAUGAGUAAUGUCAUGGUAUCUUCGAGUGAAUACAUAGCUCGUUGAGGGGAACUCGGGGAACUGAAACAUCUAAGUACCCGAAGGAAGAGAAAGAAAUUCGAUUCCGCUAGUAGCGGCGAGCGAACGCGGAACAGCCCAAACCUAAGAAGUUCGCUUCUUAGGGGUUGCGGACAUAUCAUCAGGAAGAGGUUAUUACAGACGAAGAGUUUUGGAAAGCUCCGCCACAGAAGGUAACAGCCCUGUAGUCGAAGUGAGAAGACUUCCGAUAUGAUCCAGAGUACCACGGGACACGUGAAACCCCGUGGGAAGCAGGAGGGACCACCCUCCAAGGCUAAAUACUACCCGGUGACCGAUAGCGCAUAGUACCGUGAGGGAAAGGUGAAAAGAACCCCGGGAGGGGAGUGAAAUAGAACCUGAAACCCUGUACUUACAAACUGUGGAAGCACAUUUCUUGUGUGACCGCGUACUUUUUGUAGAACGGGCCAACGAGUUACGUUAUGCAGCAAGGUUAAGUACUUCAAGUAUGCAGCCGCAGCGAAAGCGAGUUUUAACUGAGCGUUUAGUUGCAUGACGUAGACCCGAAACCGGGUGACCUAUCCAUGAGCAGGUUGAAGCGAAAGUAAAAUUUCGUGGAGGACCGAACCCACGAGCGUUGAAAAGCUCGGGGAUGACUUGUGGAUAGCGGUGAAAUUCCAAUCGAACCCGGAGAUAGCUGGUUCUCCCCGAAAUAGCUUUAGGGCUAGCCUCAGAUUCAGAGAUACGGAGGUAGAGCACUGAAUGUCCUAGGGGGUAUUGCACCUACCGAAGACUAUCAAACUCCGAAUGCCGUCAUCUUUUAUCUGGGAGUCAGACCGUGGGUGAUAAGAUUCACGGUCGAGAGGGCAACAGCCCAGACCGUCGGCUAAGGUCCCCAAAUGUAGGUUAAGUGGUAAAGGAUGUGGGAUUGCACAGACAACCAGGAUGUUGGCUUAGAAGCAGCCACUCAUUCAAAGAGUGCGUAAUAGCUCACUGGUCGAGUGAUCCUGCGCCGAAGAUUUCCGGGGCUAAAACCUACUACCGAAGCCACGGCAUCAUUUAUGAUGGGUAGGGGAGCUUUCUUUACUGGGCAGAAGCAUGACCGUAAGGACAUGUGGACUGUAAAGAAGUGAGAAUGUUGGCAUGAGUAGCGAGAUGUGGGUGAGAAUCCCACAGGCCGUAAACCCAAGGUUUCCAGGGGAAGGUUCGUCCUCCCUGGGUUAGUCGGGACCUAAGCCGAGGCCGAAAGGCGUAGGUGAUGGACAACAGGUUGAAAUUCCUGUACCGCCAAUAAGCGUUUGAGAAAUGGGAUGACACAGUAGGACAGGAUGAGCGUGCUGUUGGUUAUGCACGUCCAAGCACUGAGGCAGUAUCCGGAGGCAAAUCCACGGAUAUAAUGCUGGGGUGUGACGGGGAGCGAAAUUUAGUAGCGAAGCAUCUGCAUUCACACUGUCGAGAAAAGUCUCUAUCGAGUUUAAAGGCGCCCGUACCGCAAACCGACACAGGUGGGUGAGGAGAGUAUCCUAAGGCCAGCGAGAGAACUGUUGUUAAGGAACUCGGCAAAAUGACCCCGUAACUUAGGGAUAAGGGGUGCCAUCGAAAGAUGGCCGCAGAGAAUAGGCCCAAGCGACUGUUUACCAAAAACAUAGGUUUCUGCUAAGUCGCAAGACGAUGUAUAGGAGCUGACGCCUGCCCGGUGCUGGAAGGUUAAGGGGAUCUGUUAGAGCAAUCGAAGCAGUGAACUUAAGCCCCAGUAAACGGCGGCCGUAACUAUAACGGUCCUAAGGUAGCGAAAUUCCUUGUCGGGUAAGUUCCGACCCGCACGAAAGGCGUAACGAUUUGGGCACUGUCUCAACAACAGACUCGGUGAAAUUGUAAUUCCGGUGAAGAUGCCGGAUACCUGCGACAGGACGGAAAGACCCCAUGGAGCUUUACUGUAGCUUGGCAUUGGGUCUUGGUACUACAUGUACAGCAUAGGUGGGAGGCUUUGAUUCCAGGACGCCAGUUUUGGAUGAGCCACCGUUGGGAUACCACCCCUGUAGUACUGGGACUCUAACCAGAGGCCUUGAAUCAGGUCUUGGGACACUGUCAGGCGGGCAGUUUGACUGGGGCGGUCGCCUCCCAAAAGGUAACGGAGGCGCUCAAAGGUUCUCUCAGCACGGUCGGAAAUCGUGCAUAGAGUGUAAAGGCAUAAGAGAGCUUGAUUGCAAGACAUACAGGUCGAGCAAGGACGAAAGUCGGACUUAGUGAUCCGGUGGUUCUGAGUGGAAGGGCCAUCGCUCAACGGAUAAAAGCUACCCUGGGGAUAACAGGCUUAUCUCCCCCAAGAGUCCACAUCGACGGGGAGGUUUGGCACCUCGAUGUCGGCUCAUCACAUCCUGGGGCUGUAGUAGGUCCCAAGGGUUGGGCUGUUCGCCCAUUAAAGUGGUACGCGAGCUGGGUUCAGAACGUCGUGAGACAGUUCGGUCCCUAUCCGUCGCAGGCGUAGGAAAUUUGAGAGGAUCUGCCCUUAGUACGAGAGGACCGGGGUGGACGUACCGCUGGUGUACCAGUUGUCUCGCCAGAGGCAUGGCUGGGUAGCUAUGUACGGAACGGAUAAGCGCUGAAAGCAUCUAAGCGCGAAGCCAGCCUUAAGAUAAGAUUUCCCAUUCUUCGGAAGUAAGACCCCAUGAAGACUACGUGGUUGAUAGGUCAGAGGUGGAAGUGCAGUAAUGUAUGUAGCUUACCGAUACUAAUAGGUCGAGGACUUGACCAA
Molecule: ribosomal RNA, 2902 nt
Filed under: Peptacetobacter hiranonis
Lineage: Bacteria; Bacillati; Bacillota; Clostridia; Peptostreptococcales; Peptostreptococcaceae
Description: 23S ribosomal RNA
Rfam family: Bacterial large subunit ribosomal RNA
Source: RNAcentral